GACUGAUUGAUUUCAGGAACAGGAUUUCAGUCCUGUGUUCUGAGGUGGAGCUUUAAACCCUUUGUGACAACCUAUGAGUGCCCCUCAUUGUGCCAGCACCACUGUGUUCUGUGCUGUGGCUGUGUGGGGACAGGGGAUGGGGCUGCCACCUCUGUGCUCUGCUGCACAGAAUAACAAGGCUCACCCUGAUCACUCCGUGCUCCAGCUGUGGUUGUAGUUACAAGAAAGGAAAAAGCAACUCUUUUAUUAUUCCCUGUUGUAGAAAAGGAAGGUUUUAUGAGAGGUGGGAGUAGGACACAGGCCUUGUGAUUCACCAGCCAGACUCGCUGAGGUCCUGUGAAAGGUGAUAUGUCACUAAAGGACACAAGAUAACACAACGCAGACAUGCUGUUGCUCUCAAGGCAGGAAAAAGGGCCAGCUGGGAGGAGCACAGAGAAAUUACCUGAGCAGCCAGGAACUGGAGCAGGAAGAUAAAGCCCUGAUGGAAUUAACUGUGGCCAGUGACAUCAAGAGCAACAUGAAAAGCUUUAAGGUCUCAUCCAACCCAAACCACUCUGUGAUUCUAUGAAUUCACUAUGAACCAUACUAUGAUCCUACAGUCACAAUCAAGGAGUAACAAACAAAUCUCCCAGGCCUGUCUUCUGUUUCCCUGGAUAUUUCUCCCUGAAUAGCCACAGAUGUCAUUCCAGGAGUUCACUCAUGUUUCAUUGAGGAAAGAUGCUGAGUUGAGGAAAUGAUCUUUCAGCUGUUUCAAGGACAAGAGAUCUUCAACACAAGUCUCUGCUCCUCAUGCAGAUGAGCGUGUGUCCUCCCCAGCACAAUCCUUCUUCCCUCCAGGGCUCUCAUCUGUAGCAGCUCUCCACGAGAUGAACACACACAAAUGGACAAGACUCUCCAAGGCACUGGCAGAGAGGUGAAAGGCUGAAGAGGAGCCAACUAUAAAUCAUUCAUUUUCAAAGCGAUGUUUUGAUCAACCUCUGGAACUGAGGAAAUGAUCAUUGCAGCCUUUGGAUGUGGUCUAAAUUAUGCCACAGGC
Molecule: long non-coding RNA, 1036 nt
Organism: Passer domesticus (house sparrow)
Lineage: Eukaryota; Metazoa; Chordata; Aves; Passeriformes; Passeridae
Exons: 5
Source: RefSeq, a predicted model, not a curated record